GACGAACGCUGGCGGCGUGCUUAACACAUGCAAGUCGAACGAUGAAGCCGGAGCUUGCUCUGGUGAAUUAGUGGCGAACGGGUGAGUAACACGUGAGUAACCUGCCCUUGACUCUGGGAUAACAGCGGGAAACUGUAGCUAAUACCGGAUACGACCCUCGGAGGCAUCUCCUGGGGGUGGAAAGAAUUUCGGUCAAGGAUGGACUCGCGGCCUAUCAGCUAGUUGGUGAGGUAAAGGCUCACCAAGGCGACGACGGGUAGCCGGCCUGAGAGAGUGACCGGCCACACUGGGACUGAGACACGGCCCAGACUCCUACGGGAGGCAGCAGUGGGGAAUAUUGCACAAUGGGCGCAAGCCUGAUGCAGCAACGCCGCGUGAGGGAUGACGGCCUUCGGGUUGUAAACCUCUUUUAGCAGGGAAGAAGCGAAAGUGACGGUACCUGCAGAAAAAGCACCGGCUAACUACGUGCCAGCAGCCGCCGUAA
Molecule: ribosomal RNA, 484 nt
Filed under: uncultured bacterium
Lineage: Bacteria
Description: partial 16S ribosomal RNA
Rfam family: Bacterial small subunit ribosomal RNA
Source: RNAcentral